AACGAACGCUGGCGGCAGGCUUAACACAUGCAAGUCGAACGCCCCGCAAGGGGAGUGGCAGACGGGUGAGUAACACGUGGGAACGUGCCCUUCGCUUCGGGAUAGCCUCGGGAAACUGGGAGUAAUACCGAAUACGCCGUAUUGGGAAAGAUUUAUCGGCGAAGGAUCGGCCCGCGUUGGAUUAGCUAGUUGGCGGUGUAAUGGACCACCAAGGCUACGAUCCAUAGCUGGUCUGAGAGGACGACCAGCCACACUGGGACUGAGACACGGCCCAGACUCCUACGGGAGGCAGCAGUGGGGAAUCUUGGACAAUGGGCGCAAGCCUGAUCCAGCCAUGCCGCGUGAGUGAAGAAGGCCUUAGGGUUGUAAAACUCUUUCGCCGGUGAAGAUAAUGACGGUAACCGGGGAAGAAGCCCCGGCUAACUUCGUGCCAGCAGCCGCGGUAU
This 446-nucleotide ribosomal RNA is filed under the name uncultured bacterium. Its description in RNAcentral is "bacterial SSU rRNA". It matches the Rfam family "Bacterial small subunit ribosomal RNA", at positions 29 to 523 of the family's 1533-position model. The record is from RNAcentral.